CCCAGAUGAUAACCCAAGGACCACAAACCAGGCCCCUCCUUUUGUCUCCUGUCUGCUUUUUGACCGGUUCCACAAUCCUUUCCUGUAGUUCCUGGAUCACCCCUGCUCUUCCUGUGGCUUCCCCUGUUUCUACGCGCCCCGGUGCAUCGUAGCAGUUUAUAUAGGGACAUUUAAAUGAUCCUCUCUCUUGAAGCGGCAAUGUGCUGGGAAAGGAGGACCUUCACCCUGGCUUUGAGAAGACAGGGAUGUAGAGGGCAACACCUCUGC
Molecule: long non-coding RNA, 267 nt
Organism: Acipenser ruthenus (sterlet)
Lineage: Eukaryota; Metazoa; Chordata; Actinopteri; Acipenseriformes; Acipenseridae
Exons: 3
Source: RefSeq, a predicted model, not a curated record